UGUGAUUUUUAGGGAGGAGGAAGAGGUUGAUAGAUUCAGCAAAGUUCAAGAGAGUUUCUUGACUAGUUCUUCAACUCUCAGUAUACUUGAAUUCAUGAAUUAUGAGAAAAUCAACCCUUGAAGUGCAGGAAUUCUACAACAUCACUAAUGAUACAUAUACGAAAUCAC
Molecule: non-coding RNA, 168 nt
Organism: Arachis ipaensis
Lineage: Eukaryota; Viridiplantae; Streptophyta; Magnoliopsida; Fabales; Fabaceae
Source: RefSeq, a predicted model, not a curated record